Molecule: ribosomal RNA, 405 nt
Filed under: Teleaulax sp.
Lineage: Eukaryota; Cryptophyceae; Pyrenomonadales; Geminigeraceae
Description: partial large subunit ribosomal RNA
Rfam family: Bacterial large subunit ribosomal RNA
Source: RNAcentral
CAGAAAGACCCUAUGAAGCUUUACUGUAACUUGAAAUUGAAACUGGACUUUAGUCGCGCAGUAUAGGUGGGAGGCAUUGAAAAUAAUCUUGCGGGAAUAUUGGAGCCAUCAGUGAGAUACCACUCUUCUAAUGUUAGGUUUCUAACUUUGUAUCAUUAUCUGGUCAAAGAACAGUUUCAGGCGGGCAGUUUGACUGGGGCGGUCGCCUCCCAAAUGGUAACGGAGGCGUACAAAGGUUUCCUCUGAACGUGUAGAAAUCGUAUCUAGAGUGUAAAGGCAUAAGGAAGCUUGACUGUGAGACCUACAAGUCGAGCAGGGACGAAAGUCGGUCUUAGUGAUCUGACGGUACUGAGUGGAAAGGCCGUCACUCAACGGAUAAAAGUUACUCUAGGGAUAACAGGCUGA